RNAcentral lists this long non-coding RNA (971 nucleotides) under Diabrotica virgifera virgifera (western corn rootworm). RNAcentral's name for it is "uncharacterized LOC126889962". Lineage: Eukaryota; Metazoa; Arthropoda; Insecta; Coleoptera; Chrysomelidae. The record is from RNAcentral.
ACAUUCGGUGAAUAUCUGAUUAAGUUAUUCGUGGAAUGUUACCACAAGACAUUCUAUGAACAUACUACCAAUGUCCUAUAUUUUAAGAGAGGCCAUUUACUAUUCAAUUUGCAUUCAUUUUCAAAUUUGCUGCGCGUGUAUAUGUAUUUAGGCAAUCCAAACCACGUGACUUCUGGUUCUGGUUGGCAUGGCAUCAUGGCAUACAGGUUACAGAGGUUAUGUUUGUAAUAUCAUUUCAUUUCAUCAUUUUCACUGUUUAUCGUCAUAUUUUGGAUUCAUUUGGAUUUCGUUUGCUGUAUUUUGUGAACUUUAUAAACUUUACCACACUGCAAAGUGAUUAUUUAAGGAAAUUAUUAUUGGAGACACCAGAUGUUUGGAGAAAGAUAUUUAUUGAAGCUGAAAAUAAUUGGGGAUUUAGAUCCAUAUACAAUUCAGUCAGAAUUGGAUUUUACCAUAAAGUGCAUUCCACCAAAUUACUAUUAUAGAUAUUAUAGAUGAAAGCAUACAAAAGCCUUCAGGCACAUAAAUAUUUUACAGCUGGAUUUGUUUUUAAAGUUGGAAGUCACAAGCAACAACUUCGUAAGUACCUACAAGAAUAUUGAGGAAAUCCAGCUCCUGGAUACUACUGGGCAAACUAGAAGAUUGAAGAGGACAAAGCCUUUUGAACUAGUUUGAGUGAUAGUGAAAAGCAGAGCAUAAUGCUUGUGUGCAUGUGUAUGUUAGAAUAGUGCGGUUAGAAAAGCAGAGCAUAGUGCUUGUGUGCCUGUUAGAUUAGAUAAGAGACGCUAUGGGUAAGCUCUUCAUUUUAAGGAACAGUAGUAAUUUAGGUUAAAUUAAAAUUGCUCAUUGGUCAGAGUUACGACCAGAUUGUAAUUCUAAUGAACAAUUCAAUACAAUGAAUCGUCAUCGUAGUGAUGAUUAUGGAAAAAAUUAUAUGACAAGAUUUUGUGCAAUAAAAAUGUUUAUAUUUA